This 481-nucleotide ribosomal RNA is filed under the name uncultured bacterium. Its description in RNAcentral is "bacterial SSU rRNA". It matches the Rfam family "Bacterial small subunit ribosomal RNA", at positions 28 to 526 of the family's 1533-position model. The record is from RNAcentral.
GAUGAACGCUAGCGGCAGGCUUAAUACAUGCAAGUCAAGGGGUGCAUACAACCGGCGCACGGGUGAGUAACGCGUACACAACAUACCAUAUACUGGAGUAUAGCUUUGGGAAACUGAAGGUAAUCCUCCAUAACAUUGCGAGAGGGCAUCUGAUUGCAAUUAAAGUUUCGGCGGUAUAUGAUUGGUGUGCGUUUGAUUAGCUAGUUGGUAGGGUAACGGCCUACCAAGGCGACGAUCAAUAGCUGGCGUGAGAGCGCGACCAGCCACACUGGAACUGAGACACGGUCCAGACUCCUACGGGAGGCAGCAGUAGGGAAUAUUGGACAAUGGAGGAAACUCUGAUCCAGCCAUGCCGCGUGAUAGAUGAAGGCCUCUGGUUGUAAAUAUCUUUAUCUGGAGAAACACUCCUAUUCUUAGGAACUUGACGGUACCAGAGGAAUAAGCACCGGCUAACUCCGUGCCAGCAGCCGCGGUAAAGUAU